CAGAUAUUACUGAAUCAAACUGUAGUAUUUUGAUUUUUUUAAAUUUAUUUUGUGAUAGGGUCUUACUAUGUUGCACCGGCUGGUCCCGAACUAGGUGCUCAUAUUGAUCUCUUGGCCUAAGUUACCUGAUAUCUGGGAUUACUGGUUCAUACCACAGUAUGUGGCUUAGAUUAUUUAUAUAUUGAUGUUUUCAGAGACGGUCUCAAUGUGUGCCCCAGGCUUGCCUUGAACCCAUGGUGGCCCUCCCGUUUCUGCCUCUCACAUGUUGGGUGUACCACCAUGCUUGAUUUCAGAAUUUAAAAACACCGUAGAGCCCUUUUCUGUUUAUACCUCCCUCAGAUUUGCAGUUAUGCAUCAGUAAAAGUUUUUUUUUUCUUUGUUGGUUGAAUAAGCAAUCAAACACAAUUAAGGAAUCUGUUUUGGACAUAUAAAGUCAGCUAUAAAUCAGUCCAGUUGUUUCUAGAGAUAGCUGAAGUUGAAUUAAACGUUAAGAAAUAUGAGUAAGUCAUUAAAUUAAGAAGAACUUUGAAGAUCCCAGCAGUAGUGGUGCAUACCUUUAGCCUGAACUCGGGAGGUAGAGGUAGGUGGAUCUUGAGUUUGAGGCCAGCCUUGUCUACAGAGAGAGUUCCUGGACAGCCAGACUACAUAAAGAAGCCCUCUCUCAAAAAGAAAAAGAAAAAAAAUAACUUGAGAGCUGGAGAGAGAGGAGUCUGCAGUGUAGAGCAGAAACUGCUCUUAUAAAGGACCUGAGUUAGGUUUCUGACACUUGUGUUGAGUGGCUUACAACCACCUGUAAUUCCAGUCCCAGGCAAUCUAACACCUCUGGCUUGUAUAGGAACCAGCACUCAUAUGCAGGUACCCCUAAACAAACACAUACAUCAUAUAUACAUACAUACAUACAAACAUAAUUAAGAAUAAAUGUUUGCAGAAGGUAAACUUUCUAAAAAAAUUUUUGAGGCUAAGUAUAGUGGUGUAUAUACCUGAAAUGUUAGCACCUGAAAGGCUGAGACAGGAGGACACAUAAGUUCCUGUCUAUAAAAAAGAAAGAAAACAUCAACUCUAGAAAUUAUCUUAUGCUACUGAAUGUAUUUUUCUCAAGCAUGAAGGUGCUCGCUCAAGAAAGCAACAAAAAUAAUGGGGGUGUUUUGUUUUCUUUCAUAGUGGUUCUAUAGAUGGUAAUAACCAACUUGUAAUCAAAGGAAGAUUCCAACAGAAACAGAUAGAAAACGUCUUGAGAAGAUAUAUCAAGGAAUACGUCACUUGUCACACAUGCCGGUCACCGGACACAAUCCUACAGAAGGACACCCGACUCUAUUUCUUACAGUGUGAAACUUGUCAUUCUCGAUGCUCUGUGGCCAGUAUCAAAACUGGCUUCCAGGCUGUCACAGGCAAGCGAGCACAGCUCCGUGCCAAAGCUAACUAAUUUGCUAAUCACCAUUGAUUUUUUCAAAAUGUGGUGGAGAUUUGGCUGGACAGGUUACCAUCAGAGUGGAUGUACCAUUGAGUUAAAAACAAGAUAGAAACUGCCAAGUUCUUUGGCGAGUGAUUGUUCUGAAAUCCUUGCAAGAUACCGGUAUUCAAGCUGUUGAUAUACUCGUUGCCUACUUUAACAACUGUCAGAGAAACGUGAUGGAGUAAGGAGGUGCUUCUUAAAAUCGUUCAUAGACUUCUGUAAAAUGCAAGAUAAAUUAAAGUUAUUAUAACAGUAA
RNAcentral lists this long non-coding RNA (1709 nucleotides) under Rattus norvegicus (Norway rat). RNAcentral describes it as "long non-coding RNA NONRATT019840". Lineage: Eukaryota; Metazoa; Chordata; Mammalia; Rodentia; Muridae. The record is from RNAcentral.